CUUAAGUAUUAUUGUUUGUUAAAUGUGCCUCGUCUGUUACAGUUUUGCUUUUUGCUUUCUCAUAUUAAUAUAUUAAAAAAAAUACUCCUUUACAUGGAAUAAUUUAAACUUUUAAAUUUACAUGUGGAGAGGUCAAGAUUAUUUUUACUAGGGUAGAAUGCAAGUAUUGGUAGACACCGCCAAGAAGAAGAGAUGCUUGAUUUAUUUGUUUGUUUGUUUAUAUGUUGUUUUUGUGUUUGAACCAAACAAUACAAGGUUAAAGUUCAAGAUCAAAUGAAAGCAUUAAUACCUUAGUUUCUGUAACCUUUUUUUUCUCUCAGCAAGGUAAUACAAUGUAGUGCAAUACAUACUUUGUAUUGUUGAAUUUAUUCAUUUUAUUUAUAUAUAUAUGUAUAUGUAUAUUUAUAAACGAUGGAGUGAGCAGGUACUAUAGAGUGCUCAAUGAUGUCCCCCCUCCCCUCGUCCUUGUUACUUUGUGACUUGAAAUGCAAUUUUUUCAAAUUAUAGUUAUUCCGUUUGUUUUCUUUCUAAACUGUACAUCCAAAAUUUAUGCAUUAGUAAAAUUCACUAAAUUGAAGUUCUAUGCUAACUUUUUUUCAGAAUUCCAGCAAAAAAAGUAAGAGAUAUUACUAGUUAGAAC
RNAcentral lists this long non-coding RNA (640 nucleotides) under Mytilus galloprovincialis (Mediterranean mussel). The record is from RNAcentral. Lineage: Eukaryota; Metazoa; Mollusca; Bivalvia; Mytilida; Mytilidae.